RNAcentral lists this ribosomal RNA (253 nucleotides) under uncultured bacterium. RNAcentral's name for it is "partial 16S ribosomal RNA". It matches the Rfam family "Bacterial small subunit ribosomal RNA", at positions 524 to 776 of the family's 1533-position model. The record is from RNAcentral.
UACGGAGGGUGCAAACGUUGCUCGGAAUCAUUGGGCGUAAAGCGCACGUAGGCGGACCGCUAAGUCGGAUGUGAAAGCCCUCGGCUUAACCGAGGAAGUGCAUUCGAAACUGACGGUCUUGAGUAUGGAAGAGGGUCGCGGAAUUCCCGGUGUAGAGGUGAAAUUCGUAGAUAUCGGGAGGAACACCAGUGGCGAAGGCGGUGACCUGGGCCAAUACUGACGCUGAGGUGCGAAAGCGUGGAGAGCAAACAGG